RNAcentral lists this ribosomal RNA (376 nucleotides) under uncultured Bacteroidota bacterium. Its description in RNAcentral is "bacterial SSU rRNA". It matches the Rfam family "Bacterial small subunit ribosomal RNA", at positions 521 to 903 of the family's 1533-position model. Lineage: Bacteria; Pseudomonadati; Bacteroidota. The record is from RNAcentral.
UAAUACGGAGGGUGCAAGCGUUAUCCGGAAUCAUUGGGUUUAAAGGGUCCGUAGGCGGGCUAAUAAGUCAGGGGUGAAAUCCCACAGCUUAACUGUGGAACUGCCUUUGAUACUGUUAGUCUUGAGUUAUAUGGAAGUAGAUAGAAUGUGUAGUGUAGCGGUGAAAUGCUUAGAGAUUACACAGAAUACCGAUUGCGAAGGCAGUCUACUACAUAUAUACUGACGCUAAUGGACGAAAGCGUGGGGAGCGAACAGGAUUAGAUACCCUGGUAGUCCACGCCGUAAACGAUGGACACUAGUUGUUGGAUUAUUUCAGUGACUAAGCGAAAGUGAUAAGUGUCCCACCUGGGGAGUACGGUCGCAAGAUUGAAACUUA